AACGAACGCUGGCGGCAUGCCUAACACAUGCAAGUCGAACGAGACCUUCGGGUCUAGUGGCGCACGGGUGCGUAACGCGUGGGAACCUGCCCUUAGGUUCGGAAUAACUCCCCGAAAGGGGUGCUAAUACCGGAUAAUGUCUUCGGACCAAAGAUUUAUCGCCUUUGGAUGGGCCCGCGUUGGAUUAGCUAGUUGGUAGGGUAAAAGCCUACCAAGGCGACGAUCCAUAGCUGGUCUGAGAGGAUGAUCAGCCACACUGGGACUGAGACACGGCCCAGACUCCUACGGGAGGCAGCAGUGGGGAAUAUUGGACAAUGGGCGGAAGCCUGAUGCAGCAAUGCCGCGUGAGUGAUGAAGGAAUUCGGGUUGUAAAGCUCUUUUCCACGGGAUGAAAAUGACAGUACCGGGAGAAUAAGCUCCGGCUAACUACGUG
This 433-nucleotide ribosomal RNA is filed under the name uncultured bacterium. Its description in RNAcentral is "partial 16S ribosomal RNA". It matches the Rfam family "Bacterial small subunit ribosomal RNA", at positions 29 to 507 of the family's 1533-position model. The record is from RNAcentral.